UGGGUUUUCUGAUCAGACAGUGGAAUUGGAUUUUCUGUAUCCUAGUGAAGGGAUCCAUAAGAGGUGGGAUGCUGGUUAUCGUAUCACAGCGACUGCAGCUACAUGGGAUCAAGCUGCAUUUGUUCUAAGUAUACCAAGAAGGAAACCUCCUGAUGAAACGCAAGAGACACUUCGUACCUCUGCCUUUCCCAGCACUCAUGUCAAGGAGAAAUGG
This 214-nucleotide unclassified non-coding RNA is filed under the name Hevea brasiliensis (rubber tree). The record is from RNAcentral. Lineage: Eukaryota; Viridiplantae; Streptophyta; Magnoliopsida; Malpighiales; Euphorbiaceae.